RNAcentral lists this ribosomal RNA (478 nucleotides) under uncultured bacterium. RNAcentral's name for it is "partial 16S ribosomal RNA". It matches the Rfam family "Bacterial small subunit ribosomal RNA", at positions 28 to 507 of the family's 1533-position model. The record is from RNAcentral.
GAUGAACGCUGGCGGCGUGCUUAACACAUGCAAGUCGAACGAGAAGUUAAGACGGAUACCUUCGGGCGGAAGGCUUUAUUUAGAGUGGCGGACGGCUGAGUAACGCGUGGGUAACCUGCCUCAUACCGGGGGUAAACGAUGGCAAACACCGGUUAAUACCGCUUAACACAACAGCACCCCUUGUAAGUUGGUUAAAACCACACUUUGAAUUGGCUGUACCGUCCUUCAAUUAGCCAGUGGGGGGGGUAACGGCCCACCAAAGGGAGGAUCGAUAGCCGAUGGGUGAGGAUGGCCGGCCACAUUGGGACUGAGAAGCGGCCCGGACUCCUACGGGAGGCAGGAGUGGGGAAUAGUGCACCAUGGGGGAAAUGCUGAUGCAGCUACGCCGCGAGAGUGAAGAAGUAUGGCGGUAUGUAAAGCGCUAUCAGCAGGGAAGAAAAUGACGGUACCUGACUAAGAAGCCCCGACUAACUACGUG